UACGGGGGGGGCAAGCGUUGUUCGGAAUUACUGGGCGUAAAGGGCGCGUAGGCGGGUGCUCAAGUCUGUGGUGAAAUCCUCCGGCUCAACCGGAGAACGGCCAUGGAUACUGGGUGCCUCGAGGGUGAUAGGGGUAUGCGGAACUAUCGGUGGAGCGGUGAAAUGCGUUGAUAUCGAUAGGAACUCCGGUGGCGAAGGCGGCAUACUGGAUCACUUCUGACGCUGAGGCGCGAAAGCCAGGGGAGCGAACGGG
RNAcentral lists this ribosomal RNA (253 nucleotides) under uncultured bacterium. RNAcentral's name for it is "partial 16S ribosomal RNA". It matches the Rfam family "Bacterial small subunit ribosomal RNA", at positions 524 to 776 of the family's 1533-position model. The record is from RNAcentral.